This is a small nucleolar RNA of Acomys russatus (golden spiny mouse), 144 nucleotides long. RefSeq annotates it as small nucleolar RNA SNORA48. The record is from RefSeq and is a predicted model, not a curated record. The transcript has a single exon. Lineage: Eukaryota; Metazoa; Chordata; Mammalia; Rodentia; Muridae.
UCCCCCUGGCAAUGGGAAAAAAGGCACCUUGUUGUUGGUGGUGUUCUUUUAUCAGUUAGGGUCAGAGUACAUGGCAGUCCUUUGUUCAUCCUAGCUUGAUGCCUGGCUUGGUGGCCAAAGCUGUAUUAUGCCUAGGAAACAUAA